UACGAAGGGGGCUAGCGUUGUUCGGAUUUACUGGGCGUAAAGCGCACGUAGGCGGAUCGUUAAGUCGGGGGUGAAAUCCUGGAGCUCAACUCCAGAACUGCCUUCGAUACUGGCGAUCUAGAGUCCGGAAGAGGUGAGUGGAACUCCUAGUGUAGAGGUGGAAUUCGUAGAUAUUAGGAAGAACACCAGUGGCGAAGGCGGCUCACUGGUCCGGUACUGACGCUGAGGCGCGAAAGCGUGGGGAGCGAACAGG
This 253-nucleotide ribosomal RNA is filed under the name uncultured bacterium. RNAcentral's name for it is "partial 16S ribosomal RNA". It matches the Rfam family "Bacterial small subunit ribosomal RNA", at positions 524 to 776 of the family's 1533-position model. The record is from RNAcentral.